This is a long non-coding RNA of Vicia villosa (hairy vetch), 794 nucleotides long. RefSeq lists it as uncharacterized. NCBI's taxonomy places the organism in Eukaryota, Viridiplantae, Streptophyta, Magnoliopsida, Fabales, Fabaceae. The record is from RefSeq and is a predicted model, not a curated record. The transcript has 5 exons.
CUACAACCCAACCUUACACUCUUUCCACACUUUUCCCUAUUCAUUCUCUCUCUUCCGUUUUGGUUCUUCUAUCUCUUCCCCCCCUCAAACCCUAACACCUUCAUUCUUCUAUCUCUUUCCGCCUCAAAUCCUUUCACCAUCUUCUUCAAGCUUCUCUCUAUUCCUACUUCUUCAAUGCAGAACACACAAAAAGUUAUUUUUCCCUCAUAUGACAUUCGAUUUCCUCUUUCCAUAGAACAACCUAUUCAACAAAUCGCCGACUCAUUCCAGGACUAAAUCAGGAUGCUUGCUCUCAAAACAUAUGCCUCUUGCUGUUAGAAAUUCAACUAUACUCAGCAACAAAAUUGGGUUGAGCACUUGAGCUGUCACUUCCAUUUGGAGUAGGAUGGCCAUAGAUCUCAUUACAUGAUGUCGAACAAGCACCGACAUGACUUGGGUGAGGAGUAUACCAGUGUGACAACGAAAACGAACAGUUGAUUUAGAUGAUACUUUCUAUCCCCUAUGAUGUGGUAUUGCAAAAGAUGUGGCAAUAUAAUGUGUUUAUGCUUUGUUAAUUGAAAACUUAUACAACAACACUGUAUUUUUUCUACUCACUUUUUUCAAUGGGGAAUGCUCACAUCAUUAUUUCUAACCGUCCUUAAACAAUUUUUAUUAUUGGUUCAUUCUAGAGUGUUGAAUUUCUUAUUUCUCAAUAAAAAUGUUGAGUUUGAGUCACAAAUUUUUUGUUCCUUUUACAUAUUAAUGCUUAUCACAUGUUUUAUUGAAUAAUUUGUAUUAUACAAUUAUUCUGCAAU